UAUUGUUGCUGGCGGGUUGGAUUGGUUUGAUUCGGUUCAGGAAUCGUAAGGCGAAAGAUAGACUCUGUUUUUAUUAUUACAUUUUAACUAAAGUUAAUUUAAAAAAUGGAAGAUACUGAAGACAAAAUGCAGCAAUCAGAAUUGGCUGUGGUGGCCGAGAGAACCCGCAUGUGCGAUGAAUUUGCCUUGAUAACGAGCUCAGAUAAUGCUGUGGCACAAGGAUACCUUGCUGAAAAUGACUGGGAUAUAGAAAGGGCAGUACAUUCUUUUUUUGAAGCUGACGUUGAGACAGUCCCUUGUGAUAUAUCCCCAGAGCUGGAUUCGAUCAAGAAAAGCAAUAUGAAGUGCGGAUCAGAGCCUCUAGUUUGUAUUGACCUGACUGAAGACGAGCCAGCCAGUGGAAGUAGCAGUACAGUUGAAGGCGGUGGUUCUAAAGUCCAGACAGAGCCAGAGGAUAAGAGCAGGUUUUCAGUGCUGACCUGGAACAUUGACGGACUUGACCUCACAAACCCAGCUGAACGUGCCAGGGGGGUAUGUUCAUACAUAGCACUGUACAGUCCUGAUGUGGUGUUUCUUCAAGAGGUUGUACCACCGUAUUUGUCCUAUCUGAAAAAAAGAGCCGUCAGUUAUACAAUCGUUGAAGGAAAUGAGGAUUGCUAUUUUACUGCAGUAAUGUUGAAGAAGUCUAGAGUUAAACUCCUAAAGACGGAAAUAAUUCCUUUCCCUUCAACGUCAAUGAUGAGGAAUCUGCUAACCGUGCAGGCCAGUUUUUGUGGCAAUGAGCUGUACUUAAUGACAUCCCAUCUGGAAAGCACUAAAGACCAUUCACGAGAAAGAAUGAACCAGCUGAAGACAGUGUUGACAAAAAUCAAAGAAGCACCUGAGACUUCUACAGUGAUAUUUGGAGGUGAUACCAACCUGAGGGACCACGAGGUUAGCUCAAGGUUUACUUACUACAUAUCCAUUAUAACCUUAAUCAAGCAAACAUAUGUUUGCUGCGGUGAGCUGUUAAUAAUAGUUGCUGUGAUGUCUGAACUGGAACUUUUCAAUCUGCAGUAACAGUUUUUGUAUCGUCAUGGACCAUUGGAACACAUUGGGGUCUGUUGUAAUUAUCUAAACAAAGGGUCUUAACACCAACACCCUAAAAUGUGUAACCCAGAUAUUUUGCUCACUUCCUUCCAUGUUAAUAUUUCUAUUUAUGUUGUGUUAGUAGUGUUAAUAAGGUGGUAAUUAAAUCACCAUCUAGGGAAACGGCAAUAUUGUUAUAUUGUUAACAUUAAGCUUUGGACUGAUCCAUUUGAACUUCAUAGGUAGUAUAAACUUGGGGGUUCAGGUAAUGUAUGCAAUUCCUGCCGUAGUAUAUUGUCUUCAGGAUGGCUACAAGUAACCACAGACUGUGCAAACUUGCACAGAAAUAUUUUUUCAUACCAGCAACACGUUCUGCAUCUGAGAGAGUUUUCAGUACAUUUGGUAACGUUGUUACAUGCAGCGCUCCAGAUUAAAAUAUGAAUUAACGUAUGAUAUUUAAAUAUAUGUGUAAAGAACACUCUUAGCAAUAUUUCUGCACAGCUUGAGUCUGCAUUUUAUCAAGCUUCUUGUUCUUCAUUAGUUCCCCAUGUCUCAAUGGUCAAUUGUGAAUAUACUGCAUGCGAUAGAUAGAGAAUGGAUCAUAGAAAUGCCUUUACCUAACCUGCCAAUCUACCUAUCUGUCAACUGAAAUUUGUGAAGGUGAAUCUAUGUAAUAAAUACAGUAUUCUGUGUUUUGAGUCAGGAUGCUUUAUAGUGCUGAAGCAAGGCGAUCAAUAAAGAAUGCAGUAGUAUUUGCAUUAGUGCAGUGUUGGUACAGUUUUUAAAAAACUGACUUUUUUGUUUUAAAAUUUUUUGGGAGCGUAUGAGUUUACUAGUAAAGGGAAAGCACAAAAGUAAGUAAGAUUUACAGAAAACUAUAACCACUGUAACAACCAUGUACUAAAGUGACUCAGUUAACACAGUACUAGUGACAUUACAGUUAAAAUGUAAGGCUGUAGUUAAAUCGUACACCAUAUGUUAAGGUCAUGUUGCAUUUUACUGUUACAAACCUUAUAUUUUUUGGCUACUGGAUUAACUAACUGAUAGCAUGCUGCUGCCACCACCUUUUAUUUCUAUCAGAAGGUCCGGAAUUUACUAAUAUGCAUUUAUCUAAAAUAGGAUGGGAGAGUGUGCAAUAAUCAUACCACAAAGACACUAAGACCAUCAACUUGGGGCAGAUAGUUUAUUAACAAGCAUUUCAUUAAAACAGGGGGUUAACAAUCUCUGAACCACACAGGUAGAAAUGACAAUCGGGUCAAUAGAUUAUGUAUGUAACACAGUGUAAAAGGAUGAGAGAAGGGGCAGACACACCCAUACCAAAACCCUUACAAAUGAUAUAGAAAAUAAGCCAAAAGAACCACAAAUCCAAACCAUAAACACAUGCUGUUAGUAAUCAAACAAAGUAAUAUUCAACAUAAAAUAAUAUGUGAAUAAUAGACAAAUCAACUCAACUUGACGCAUGCAAAAUAAACCACCACAGGUUUAGUAGUGUCCAUCGCUUACUGAUCCACGUACACAGGUUCAGCAAUAUGCAUUGAUUUAAAAUGAUCAAUCUACACAGGUUCAGCAAUAUGCAUUGAUUUAAAAUGAUCAAUCUACACAGGUUCAGCAAUAUGCAUUGAUUUAAAAUGAUCAAUCUACACAGGUUCAGCAAUAUGCAUUGAUUUAAAAUGAUCAAUCUACACAGGUUCAGCAAUAUGCAUUGAUUUAAAAUGAUCAAUGUAGUUCUUAUUUUGCUCCUUUUGAAAAUCAUGCUUACAGUAUCAAUUACUCAAGGACUCAAAACCUUAUCUGGCACGCUGGCUAGAUGUAAACAGACAAGACUAAAACUUGAUACUGUUGAUAAAUUUGUAUUUUUGGCAAAAUAUGGAUUUAAAAAAAAAAAAAAGAAAUAAAAAAUCCUUGAUCAUAUUGCUCAAAUAUUGUGAUAUAUACACACACACACACACACACACACACACACACCGUUUAUCGUCUUGAACAUCUGAAAUAUCAUGAUAUUUUUUUUGGUAUAUUGCCGACCCCUACAGUCAUGACAAGGUUGCAGGCGUUUUUGGGAGUAAAAUAAAAUAUUUUGCUUAUUAAAAAGGAGAGGAUUUUCUUUUUAGGGCUACCAAGGUAUAUAAGCAUGGUGUCUAAGUUGUUUAAAACCACAAAGCCCCACUCUUAACAUUUCUUGGAGGAUGAGGGCAUAUGCGUGUGAUAUAUAUAUAUAUAUAUAUAUAUUUG
This is an RNA transcript of Polyodon spathula (Mississippi paddlefish), 3297 nucleotides long. It is a transcript of the gene named tyrosyl-DNA phosphodiesterase 2b, with no coding region annotated. The transcript is spliced from 7 exons. The record is from RefSeq and is a predicted model, not a curated record. NCBI's taxonomy places the organism in Eukaryota, Metazoa, Chordata, Actinopteri, Acipenseriformes, Polyodontidae.